RNAcentral lists this small nuclear RNA (107 nucleotides) under Jaculus jaculus (lesser Egyptian jerboa). The record is from RNAcentral. Lineage: Eukaryota; Metazoa; Chordata; Mammalia; Rodentia; Dipodidae.
GUGCUCACUUCAGCAGCACAUACACUAAAAUUGGAAUGAUACAGAGAAGAUUAGCAUGGCCCCUGCUCAAGAAUGACAUGCAAAUUCAUGAAACACUCAUUUUUUAA